CACAAGCGGUGGAGCAUGUGGUUAAUUCGAAGCAACGCGAAGAACCUUACCAGGCCUUGACAUGCAGAGAACUUUCCAGAGAUGGAUUGGUGCCUUCGGGAACUCUGACACAGGUGCUGCAUGGCUGUCGUCAGCUCGUGUCGUGAGAUGUUGGGUUAAGUCCCGUAACGAGCGCAACCCUUGUCCUUAGUUACCAGCACGUUAUGGUGGGCACUCUAAGGAGACUGCCGGUGACAAACCGGAGGAAGGCGGGGAUGACGUCAAGUCAUCAUGGCCCUUACGGCCUGGGCUACACACGUGCUACAAUGGUCGGUACAAAGGGUUGCCAAGCCGCGAGGUGGAGCUAAUCCCAUAAAACCGAUCGUAGUCCGGAUCGCAGUCUGCAACUCGACUGCGUGAAGUCGGAAUCGCUAGUAAUCGUGAAUCAGAAUGUCACGGUGAAUACGUUCCCGGGCCUU
This 458-nucleotide ribosomal RNA is filed under the name uncultured Pseudomonas sp. Its description in RNAcentral is "bacterial SSU rRNA". It matches the Rfam family "Bacterial small subunit ribosomal RNA", at positions 924 to 1382 of the family's 1533-position model. The record is from RNAcentral. Lineage: Bacteria; Pseudomonadati; Pseudomonadota; Gammaproteobacteria; Pseudomonadales; Pseudomonadaceae.